GAUGAACGCUGGCGGCGUGCCUAAUACAUGCAAGUCGAGCGAACAGACGAGGAGCUUGCUCCUCUGACGUUAGCGGCGGACGGGUGAGUAACACGUGGAUAACCUACCUAUAAGACUGGGAUAACUUCGGGAAACCGGAGCUAAUACCGGAUAAUAUAUUGAACCGCAUGGUUCAUUAGUGAAAGACGGUUUUGCUGUCACUUAUAGAUGGAUCCGCGCCGCAUUAGCUAGUUGGUAAGGUAACGGCUUACCAUGGCAACGAUGCGUAGCCGACCUGAGAGGGUGAUCGGCCACACUGGAACUGAGACACGGUCCAGACUCCUACGGGAGGCAGCAGUAGGGAAUCUUCCGCAAAGGGCGAAAGCCUGACGGAGCAACGCCGCGUGAGUGAUGAAGGUCUUCGGAUCGUAAAACUCUGUUAUUAGGGAAGAACAAAUGUGUAAGUAACUAUGCACGUCUUGACGGUACCUAAUCAGAAAGCCACGGCUAACUACGUG
This 497-nucleotide ribosomal RNA is filed under the name uncultured bacterium. Its description in RNAcentral is "partial 16S ribosomal RNA". It matches the Rfam family "Bacterial small subunit ribosomal RNA", at positions 28 to 507 of the family's 1533-position model. The record is from RNAcentral.